Oncorhynchus masou masou (cherry salmon) is the source of this 320-nucleotide long non-coding RNA. RefSeq lists it as uncharacterized. Lineage: Eukaryota; Metazoa; Chordata; Actinopteri; Salmoniformes; Salmonidae. The transcript is spliced from 3 exons. The record is from RefSeq and is a predicted model, not a curated record.
GAAGCACAAAACAGCAACACAGCAAGUUGCAACCAUUUCGUUAGAUGAGGAGGAAGAGGCAUGGUUUGAUGUGUACUACCGAUAUGUUCGACCAGCUUUUCUUAAGAACUCUGAUGACACGGAAGCAGAUGAGAGCUUCUUAAUUUCCACAACCGGGAACCCGAUCUACAACCCAUCCAAUGAUCUACAAAGGUUUCAUUCCAAAUACAACUUGCCCAACAUCACGAGCCAGGUAGCAAGACGAGUUAUGGAGACAAAUACCAAAGCCAGCUUCACAGACCAACAGAAGGCCCUUGUUGCUGACUACUUGGCCCAUACAA